Molecule: ribosomal RNA, 407 nt
Filed under: uncultured bacterium
Lineage: Bacteria
Description: partial 16S ribosomal RNA
Rfam family: Bacterial small subunit ribosomal RNA
Source: RNAcentral
AUUGAACGCUGGCGGCAGGCCUAACACAUGCAAGUCGAGCGGAGCGGCGGACGGGUGAGUAAUGCCUAGGAAUCUGCCUGGUAGUGGGGGAUAACGUACGGAAACGGGCGCUAAUAACGCAUACUAUCAGCUGAGCCUAGGUCGGAUUAGCUAGUUGGUGGAGUAAAGGCCUACCAAGGCAACGAUCGGUAGCUGGUCUGAGCGGCAGACCAGCCACACGGGGACUGAGACACGGCCCAGACUCCUACGGUAGGCAGCAGUGGGGAAUUGUGGACAAUGGGGGCAACCCUGAUCCAGCCAGGCCGCGUGCAGGAUGAAGGUCUUCGGAUUGUAAACUGCUUUUGUCAGGGAAGCGGUACCUGAAGAAUAAGCACCGGCUAACUACGUGCCAGCAGCCGCGGUAAUUC